RNAcentral lists this ribosomal RNA (253 nucleotides) under uncultured bacterium. Its description in RNAcentral is "partial 16S ribosomal RNA". It matches the Rfam family "Bacterial small subunit ribosomal RNA", at positions 524 to 776 of the family's 1533-position model. The record is from RNAcentral.
GACAGAGGUGCCAAGCGUUAGGCGGAAUUACUGGGCGUAAAGAGUUCGUAGGCGGUUUGUCGCGUCGUUUGUGAAAACCAGCAGCUCAACUGCUGGCUUGCAGGCGAUACGGGCAGACUUGAGUACUGCAGGGGAGACUGGAAUUCCUGGUGUAGCGGUGAAAUGCGCAGAUAUCAGGAGGAACACCGGUGGCGAAGGCGGGUCUCUGGGCAGUAACUGACGCUGAGGAACGAAAGCGUGAGUAGCGAACAGG